AGUUGGGUGGCCGAUUAAAGCGUUAGAUUGUAAAUUUAAUUAUAGAGUUUCUCUCCUUAC
RNAcentral lists this transfer RNA (60 nucleotides) under Proasellus margalefi. Its description in RNAcentral is "transfert RNA-Y(TAC)". The record is from RNAcentral. Lineage: Eukaryota; Metazoa; Arthropoda; Malacostraca; Isopoda; Asellidae.